This 62-nucleotide transfer RNA is filed under the name Dipodomys ordii (Ord's kangaroo rat). It matches the Rfam family "tRNA", at positions 6 to 65 of the family's 71-position model. From Rfam's summary of the family: Transfer RNA (tRNA) molecules are approximately 80 nucleotides in length. Their secondary structure includes four short double-helical elements and three loops (D, anti-codon, and T loops). Further hydrogen bonds mediate the characteristic L-shaped molecular structure. tRNAs have two regions of fundamental functional importance: the anti-codon, which is responsible for specific mRNA codon recognition, and the 3' end, to which the tRNAs corresponding amino acid is attached (by aminoacyl-tRNA synthetases). tRNAs cope with the degeneracy of the genetic code in two manners: having more than one tRNA (with a specific anti-codon) for a particular amino acid; and 'wobble' base-pairing, i.e. permitting non-standard base-pairing at the 3rd anti-codon position. The record is from Rfam by way of RNAcentral. Lineage: Eukaryota; Metazoa; Chordata; Mammalia; Rodentia; Heteromyidae.
UAUAGCUUAGUGGUAGAGUGCUUGCCUAACAUGCAUGAAACCUUGGGUUCGAUUCCUCAGUA